GGCACUAUGCCCGAGUGGUUAAGGGGUAAGUCUCGAAUUCAUUACGGUUCGAUCGUCUAUUCUUCUAGACGAGGUAAACUUAUAGGCUCUGCCUGCGUCGGUUCAAAUCCGACUGGUGUCG
Molecule: transfer RNA, 121 nt
Filed under: Mycosarcoma maydis (corn smut)
Lineage: Eukaryota; Fungi; Basidiomycota; Ustilaginomycetes; Ustilaginales
Description: tRNA-Ser for anticodon CGA
Rfam family: tRNA
About the family: Transfer RNA (tRNA) molecules are approximately 80 nucleotides in length. Their secondary structure includes four short double-helical elements and three loops (D, anti-codon, and T loops).
Source: RNAcentral